UUUAUCACUAGCACUGUGAACGGUGUCCUAGGUGUACCCUAGCCUGGGUGCAAUCCGUUUUGUAACGUUACAAGACGGGUGGCACCCAGGCUAGCCGUACCCUCAUCCAAGGCUCUAGCCUCAGCGCCUACAUCGGCUACAUAUAGCGGCGAGAAGCAGAACUCCAGUCAGAAGCUCUGAAGAAGGUGUCUGAUAGACAUGGAAACGUCAGCACUUUAUAGACAUCCCCAGUGAUGCCAGGGCGGUGAAAUGCAGCUCCAGACACGAUGUUGCUGUCAGGACGACCAGUGAGCCAUGAUCAGCCGCUGUAGUCGUCAUUGUCUUCACCG
Long non-coding RNA from Branchiostoma belcheri (Belcher's lancelet), 329 nucleotides. RefSeq lists it as uncharacterized. NCBI's taxonomy places the organism in Eukaryota, Metazoa, Chordata, Leptocardii, Amphioxiformes, Branchiostomatidae. The record is from RefSeq and is a predicted model, not a curated record. The transcript has 3 exons.